This 440-nucleotide ribosomal RNA is filed under the name uncultured bacterium. RNAcentral describes it as "partial 16S ribosomal RNA". It matches the Rfam family "Bacterial small subunit ribosomal RNA", at positions 338 to 795 of the family's 1533-position model. The record is from RNAcentral.
CCUACGGGUGGCAGCAGUGGGGGAUAUUGCACAAUGGGGGAAACCCUGAUGCAGCGACGCCGCGUGAGUGAAGAAGUAUUUCGGUAUGUAAAGCUCUAUCAGCAGGGAAGAAAAUGACGGUACCUGACCAAGAAGCCCCGGCUAACUACGUGCCAGCAGCCGCGGUAAUACGUAGGGGGCAAGCGUUAUCCGGAUUUACUGGGUGUAAAGGGAGCGUAGACGGUAGUGCAAGUCUGGAGUGAAAGCCUGGGGCUCAACCCCGGGACUGCUUUGGAAACUGUGUAGCUGGAGUACAGGAGAGGUAGGUGGAAUUCCUGGUGUAGCGGUGAAAUGCGUAGAGAUCAGGAGGAACACCAGUGGCGAAGGCGGCCUGCUGGACUGUAACUGACGUUGAGGCUCGAAAGCGUGGGGAGCAAACAGGAUUAGAUACCCCAGUAGUC